CCCAGACUCCUACGGGAGGCAGCAGUGGGGAAUAUUGGGCAAUGGGCGCAAGCCUGACCCAGCAACGCCGCGUGAAGGAAGAAGGCUUUCGGGUUGUAAACUUCUUUUAAGAGGGAAGAGAAGAAGACGGUACCUCUUGAAUAAGCCACGACUAACUACGUGCCAGCAGCCGCGGUAAUACGUAGGGGGCAAGCGUUAUCCGGAUUCACUGGGUGUAAAGGGAGCGUAGACGGCCAUGCAAGCCUGGAGUGAAAGCCCGGGGCCCAACCCCGGGACUGCUCUGGGAACUGUGCGGCUGGAGUGCGGGAGGGGCAGGCGGAAUUCCUGGUGUAGCGGUGAAAUGCGUAGAUAUCAGGAGGAACACCGGCGGCGAAGGCGGCCUGCUGGACCGCGACUGACGUUGAGGCUCGAAAGCGUGGGGAGCAAACAGGAUUAGAUACCCCGGUACG
Molecule: ribosomal RNA, 449 nt
Filed under: uncultured bacterium
Lineage: Bacteria
Description: bacterial SSU rRNA
Rfam family: Bacterial small subunit ribosomal RNA
Source: RNAcentral